RNAcentral lists this ribosomal RNA (253 nucleotides) under uncultured bacterium. RNAcentral's name for it is "partial 16S ribosomal RNA". It matches the Rfam family "Bacterial small subunit ribosomal RNA", at positions 524 to 776 of the family's 1533-position model. The record is from RNAcentral.
UACAGAGGUCUCAAGCGUUGUUCGGAUUCAUUGGGCGUAAAGGGUGCGUAGGCGGCGCGGUAAGUCGGGUGUGAAAUCUCGGAGCUUAACUCCGAAACUGCAUUCGAUACUGCCGUGCUUGAGGACUGGAGAGGAGACUGGAAUUUACGGUGUAGCGGUGAAAUGCGUAGAUAUCGUAAGGAAGACCAGUGGCGAAGGCGGGUCUCUGGGCAGUUCCUGACGCUGAGGCACGAAGGCCAGGGGAGCAAACGGG